GUCUAUGGCCAUACCACCCUGAACAUGCCUAAUCUUGUCUGAUCUCAGAAGCUAAGUAGGGUCGGACCUGGUUAUACUUGGAUGGGAGAAAGGAAGAAAAAGAAAUAUAGAGA
Molecule: ribosomal RNA, 113 nt
Organism: Erinaceus europaeus (western European hedgehog)
Lineage: Eukaryota; Metazoa; Chordata; Mammalia; Eulipotyphla; Erinaceidae
Source: Ensembl